This 498-nucleotide ribosomal RNA is filed under the name uncultured bacterium. RNAcentral describes it as "partial 16S ribosomal RNA". It matches the Rfam family "Bacterial small subunit ribosomal RNA", at positions 27 to 507 of the family's 1533-position model. The record is from RNAcentral.
GGAUGAACGCUGGCGGCGUGCCUACUACAUGCAAGUCGAGCGAACAGCUGAGGAGCUUGCUCCUCUGACGUUAGCGGCGGACGGGUGAGUAACACGUGGAUAACCUACCUAUAAGACUGGGAUAACUUCGGGAAACCGGAGCUAAUACCGGAUAAUAUAUUGAACCGCAUGGUUCAAUAGUGAAAGACGGUUUUGCUGUCACUUAUAGAUGGAUCCGCGCCGCAUUAGCUAGUUGGUAAGGUAACGGCUUACCAAGGCAACGAUGCGUAGCCGACCUGAGAGGGUGAUCGGCCACACUGGAACUGAGACACGGUCCAGACUCCUACGGGAGGCAGCAGUAGGGAAUCUUCCGCAAUGGGCGAAAGCCUGACGGAGCAACGCCGCGUGAGUGAUGAAGGUCUUCGGAUCGUAAAACUCUGUUAUUAGGGAAGAACAAAUGUGUAAGUAACUAUGCACGUCUUGACGGUACCUAAUCAGAAAGCCACGGCUAACUACGUG